CCAACAUGGAAACACAACCACCGCUACACCCGGUUAAUACGCCGCCCUCAUCAUCCCCGACGGGACCGUGGAGCAAAUCUGAGCCGGGCGAGAGGCCCCGAACACCAGGCACGGACUUCCGUGAAACGCGUAGUGCCUUCUCGAGCUCGUCUACACCUGCAGGCCGUACCUGAAAGCCUGGGCUUAUCUGUGUGUGCGUCUCCAAAGCAAAACCCAGCGAGGCUUCCUUGUAACAACUCCCUCACCAACUCUCUUUGGGCCGACGACACGGAAUCACCUUACCAUUAACCUCGGCGGAGACCAAUCAAGAAUAGAAUGAAGACUGACUUGUGUGGAUGGGGCGAGGGACUAAAAAAUAUACUGUUUUCAGGUGUAACCUGGAGUAGUUGAUGGCCUUCACGUGAAAUUAGCUGUCACUUGGGUACUUGAGAUACUCUAAACGCGGAUUUUGGCAGCACAAAUAGCCACUGGGCUUGCUCUGGUGAGAGAGGGUGGAGAAAGCGUGGACUCGCCCCGCGCUCAGUGAGGGGCUCCUGCUUUCGUACCUCGGUUCCCAACAUGCCAGAGAGCUGGCUAAUUCUGUGAACAAGGAUGGAUUCCCAAUUAUCCUGUUUGGGCGAACGAGGUGGUGAACGUCACUUCUGGUUUUGCUUCCAACCAAAGCACGACAGAGAUUCUAGGACCACUUUGGGGUAGAAAUCCGAGGCCCGGAGCAGAAGCUGCCCCUCAGAGUCCACAGUUUGUCCUGAGUAACAAGGGUUUUUCUUAGAAGAAGUAUCCCAGUGGUAACAUGUGGCUCCUUCUAUUGAAAUGUCUUUUGUCAACAUCUAAGUACCUUUAGAAGUAUGCAUUUGUCCAUAUUGGUCACCAAAACGUGUCCUCUCAGUCUGUGCAAGGGCUUAAAAAUUCUUGAUAAUUCAACCAGCCCAGUAUUCAAAGGAAGCAGGAAAGAGACAAAGUGUUAUCAAGAUUUCUUCCGCUGAGGACAGCCCAGGAAAGGGUUUGGUGUUUAAUCCAAGAACGAUGAGAUACCUUUGAAGAAGAGCCCAUGAUCACGUCUUGUUUUGCUCACCAUUGGACCCACAGUGCCAACCCAGUGAUGGGCACGCACUAGGUGACAAAUACAUAUUUGUUGAAGAAAUGAAUGAAAAGUCAAACUCAGAGUCUUUCCUUCUCAAGCCCAUUCCCUCUGAAUUUCCCACUUGGGCAAACAGCAUCGUCUCCCAGGACCCAGCAUCAUUUCUGGCGCGGAGAGGGCAAACACACAAAUGUUUGUGGUACCGAAUGGAGAUGAAUAAGACUUAUUUUUGUCCUGGACCCACUAUCUGUCACAACAGCGGAGCACGGUGAUGAAUGUCUGUAGGGAUGCUGGAGAAAGUGCUAAGAGGUGAAAACGGGAAUAAACGACAAGAGACGACUUCACUCUGAAAGAAGACGGAGGAGAGGGAGAGCCUGAGCCAAGUUUGCUGCGUGGGGGGAAGCUUCUGUACGAUUCAUACUGUAGCUUCUAACUCUUCCAUCAGGGGCCUGUGAGGCCAGGUGCUAAUUAAGUUAAUAA
Molecule: long non-coding RNA, 1558 nt
Organism: Hyaena hyaena (striped hyena)
Lineage: Eukaryota; Metazoa; Chordata; Mammalia; Carnivora; Hyaenidae
Exons: 5
Source: RefSeq, a predicted model, not a curated record